RNAcentral lists this ribosomal RNA (1219 nucleotides) under metagenome. RNAcentral describes it as "bacterial LSU rRNA". It matches the Rfam family "Bacterial large subunit ribosomal RNA", at positions 1562 to 2800 of the family's 2925-position model. The record is from RNAcentral.
UACGGAAAGCUGCGGCAAGUACGGAAAAGCUGAGAGCAGGCUUCCAGGAAAAGCUUCUAGCACAACACGCAUCGGCCCGUACCGAAAAUGGACACACAUGGGCAAGGAGAGAAUCCUGAGGUGAGCGAGAGAACUAUAGCUAAGGAACUCUGCAAAAUGACCCCGUAACUUAGGGAGAAGGGGUGCUCCAGAAAUGGAGCCGCAGUAAAACGGCCCAAGCGACUGUUUACCAAAAACACAGCUCUCUGCGAAGGCGCAAGCCGAAGUAUAGGGGGUGACGCCUGCCCGGUGCUGGAAGGUCAAGGGGAGCUGUCAGCGCAAGCGAAGCAGCGAGCCGAAGCCCCAGUAAACGGCGGCCGUAACAAUAACGGUCCUAAGGUAGCGAAAUUCCUUGUCGGGCAAGUUCCGACCCGCACGAAAGGCGUAACGAUUUGGGCGCUGUCUCAGCUGUAGACUCGGUGAAGUCUUAGUACCUGUGAAGAUGCAGGUUGCCCGCGACUAGACGGAAAGACCCCAUGGAGCUUCACUGCAGGUUGACAUUGGGCUUGGAUGCAUGAUGUACAGGAUAGGUGGGAGGCUGUGAGCCGUGCGCGCCAGCGUACGGGGAGCCGCUGUUGGGAUACCACCCUUCAUGCAUCUAGGUCCUAACCGGAGGCAACGGGCCACGGGACAGUGUCAGUCGGGCAGUUUGACUGGGGCGGUCGCCUCCCAAAGAGUAACGGAGGCGCCCAAAGAUACCCUCAGCAUGGAUGGAAACCAUGCAUAGGGUGCAAAGGCAUAAGGGUAUCUGACUGCGAGACAUACAGGUCGAGCAGGGACGAAAGUCGGGCUUAGUGAUCCGGCGGAUCCGAAUGGAAGGGCCGUCGCUCAACGGAUAAAAGCUACCCUGGGGAUAACAGGCUGAUCUCCCCCAAGAGUUCACAUCGACGGGGAGGUUUGGCACCUCGAUGUCAGCUCAUCGCAUCCUGGAGCUGAAGUCGGUUCCAAGGGUUGGGCUGUUCGCCCAUUAAAGCGGUACGCGAGCUGGGUUCAGAACGUCGUGAGACAGUUCGGUCCCUAUCUGUCGUGGGCGCAGGAGGUUUGAGGAGAGCUGCCCCUAGUACGAGAGGACCGGGGUGGACGGACCGAUGGUGCACCAGUUGUCACGCCAGUGGCACAGCUGGGCAGCCAAGUCCGGACGGGAUAAGCGCUGAAGGCAUCUAAGCGUGAAGCCCCCUCC